RNAcentral lists this ribosomal RNA (406 nucleotides) under uncultured bacterium. RNAcentral's name for it is "partial 16S ribosomal RNA". It matches the Rfam family "Bacterial small subunit ribosomal RNA", at positions 29 to 526 of the family's 1533-position model. The record is from RNAcentral.
AUUGAACGCUGGCGGCAAGCCUAACACAUGCAAGUCGAACGAGUGGCGGACGGGUGAGUAAUGUCUGGGAAACUGCCCGAUGGAGGGGGAUAACUACUGGAAACGGUAGCUAAUACCGCAUACCAUCGGAUGUGCCCAGUUGGGAUUAGCUAGUAGGUGGGGUAAAGGCGCACCUAGGCGACGAUCCCUAGCUGGGCUGAGAGGAUGACCAGCAACACGGGAACUGGGACACGGUCCAGACUCCUACGGGAGGCAGCAGUGGGGAAUAUUGCACAAGGGGCGCAAGCCUGAGUCAGCCAUGCCGCGUGUAUGAAGAAGGCCUUCGGGGUGUAAAGUACUUUCAGCGGGGAGGCGUUACCCGCAGAAGAAGCACCGGCUAACUCCGUGCCAGCAGCCGCGGUAAUUC